This 401-nucleotide ribosomal RNA is filed under the name uncultured bacterium. RNAcentral's name for it is "bacterial SSU rRNA". It matches the Rfam family "Bacterial small subunit ribosomal RNA", at positions 355 to 773 of the family's 1533-position model. The record is from RNAcentral.
UGGGGAAUUUUGCGCAAUGGGGGAAACCCUGACGCAGCAACGCCGCGUGGAGGAUGAAAUCCCUUGGGAUGUAAACUCCUUUCGAUAGGGAAGAUUAUGACGGUACCUAUAGAAGAAGCCCCGGCUAACUUCGUGCCAGCAGCCGCGGUAAUACGAGGGGGGCAAGCGUUGUUCGGAUUUAUUGGGCGUAAAGGGUGCGUAGGCGGUUUGGCAAGUCUUGUGUGAAAUCUUCGGGCUCAACCCGAAGCCUGCACAAGAAACUGCCGGGCUUGAGUAUGGGAGAGGUGAGUGGAAUUUCCGGUGUAGCGGUGAAAUGCGUAGAUAUCUGGAGGAACACCGGUGGCGAAGGCGGCAUCCUGGACCGGUAUUGACGCUGAGGCGCGAAAGCUAGGGGAGCAAAC